This 497-nucleotide long non-coding RNA is filed under the name Sorghum bicolor (sorghum). RNAcentral describes it as "long non-coding RNA (SBIC_LNC004029)". Lineage: Eukaryota; Viridiplantae; Streptophyta; Magnoliopsida; Poales; Poaceae. The record is from RNAcentral.
GAGACAUCCGUGCACAACGUCUGCUAGUGAUCUCGGGAAGAAUGGUUACUUGAAUUUGUUUUUUAUUUUGUUGACUGCACCUAAAAUUUUGGAGCUAGUCUUUUAGGCUAUGGCACCUUUCCAGUCACUAUACUCCAUGCAUAUUGUCACUAUUUGUUAGUAAUAUUCGAAUCUUAUGAUUGUUUUACUGCCUCGUAUCUUUGUUCUCACGUCUUAAAGGGCGAUGUCUGGCAUAACCCUUCUUGGUUGAGUUCCGUUCUUGCAAUUGGGUUGUGGUACGGUUUCGUCUAAUAACCAAACCAGCAGCUCACUUUUCUAAUUUACGGGGAAGACGACUGUAACUGUAACUUGCCCUGGUUGACUCGUGUGUCGCCCUGGUUGACUCAUCUGAGUUACUGCCUUGGUUUACUAAUCUGAGUGUGAUGCCCUGGUUGACUCAUCUGAAUUGUUACUCCCUUAGAGCAUCUUCACCAGAUUAAAUAUAAGUGAUCACUUUU